Molecule: ribosomal RNA, 253 nt
Filed under: uncultured bacterium
Lineage: Bacteria
Description: partial 16S ribosomal RNA
Rfam family: Bacterial small subunit ribosomal RNA
Source: RNAcentral
GACAGAGGGUGCAAACGUUGCUCGGAAUUACUGGGCGUAAAGCGCGUGUAGGCGGACCGAUAAGUCAGGUGUGAAAUCCCCAGGCUCAACCUGGGAACUGCACUUGAAACUGCCGGUCUUGAGUGAUGGAGAGGAUGGCGGAAUUCCUGGUGUAGAGGUGAAAUUCGUAGAUAUCAGGAGGAACACCGGUGGCGAAGGCGGGUCUCUGGGCCGUAACUGACGCUGAGGAGCGAAAGCGUGGGGAGCGAACAGG